GUUGCAUCUUUUCAGCGUCCAGAAAGCGCGCUUGCCUCUUCAAGCUGUAAGGAACCUGGACGUCUCGGCUUCGCGAGAAGGUCUCGCAGCGGCCUCCCUUGGAAAUUUUUCUCGUUUGAAGAAAGUCCCCAUCAAAUCGAAUGCAGACUUUCCUGUGGAGGCUUCUGCAGUGUCCGUUCUCAUAAGCAGAUGAGUCUGUGGUUCAUGUUUCUCGUUGUCCUGUUUACCUGCCCCGCGAAAGCAGUGUCCGGCAAGAGACGAGACACGUGACCGCGGCACAAACAGAGAACGAGAGACUGAAGGGAGGCAAGGGGCGCACAUGCGCAUGAACGAUUCCUAUUCAUGUAUGCUUAUGCGCCUGUGUAUGUGUGUCUAAACCAACGGAUGCAUCUUCACAGAAUAAUUCAUACAGGGAAUGAGGGUCAACACGCACCUGGUAGGUAAGCCUUUGCAACAAGAGUUACAUGUAGACUCGAAGGAUAUUAUGACGUGAGACUGGAGGCGAUUUGUUUGUCGCACGCCAGAUGGUAUGCAGAAGAGAAAGGGUGGGUGUCACAUUUUAAGGAGUACCGGGGAUAUUAGGUCCUGCUGGCGUACGGACUCUACGCAUCUCCCACCUUCUCAUGCUGUUCGAACGACAUAAGAUACUGGGGGAUUUAGUGAUAUGGUGGGGCUUUUCUGUAAAGAGAGCAGCAAUGUUCUCUUCUUGUGGAAACAAAGGAAACUGUUUAGAAUCGAAAAACACUCAACGAGCGCCGUGGCGUAGGUCCUGAAGUUCUUUGGUGACUGCAGCAUUCCAUUGCCGUGGAGGUUUGUCGUCAGUUGUUCAAAAAAACAAUAUGGUCAACCAAUGAAUUUUUGGGUGCAUGGAAUGAUGAAUUUUUUUUCGGACUAGUUCAUACUGCAAAUCUCUCAGCACAUAAUCAGCCAAGACCCCUUUGAAAGGCCUGUUUGGAACUUGCGCUGCUGGGAGCACACAUACGUGCAUGUCGAGAAUAUAUACAUUUCUCGCGCCUUUUUUGUAAGGAUAUCAAAACAAUGAAGUUGACGACACGAAGAGCACGUAUAACGCAAAUUGAAAUACGAGCAGGCGGUAUCGAGAGU
This 1104-nucleotide long non-coding RNA is filed under the name Toxoplasma gondii VEG. Lineage: Eukaryota; Apicomplexa; Conoidasida; Eucoccidiorida; Sarcocystidae. The record is from RNAcentral.